This 440-nucleotide ribosomal RNA is filed under the name uncultured bacterium. Its description in RNAcentral is "partial 16S ribosomal RNA". It matches the Rfam family "Bacterial small subunit ribosomal RNA", at positions 338 to 795 of the family's 1533-position model. The record is from RNAcentral.
CCUACGGGAGGCAGCAGUGGGGGAUAUUGCACAAUGGGGGGAACCCUGAUGCAGCGACGCCGCGUGGGUGAAGGAGCGUUUCGGCGCGUAAAGCUCUAUCGGCAGGGAAGAAGGAGGACGGUACCUGACUAAGAAGCCCCGACAAACUACGUGCCAGCAGCCGCGGUAAUACGUAGGGGGCAAGCGUUAUCGGAUUUACUGGGGGUAAAGGGGGCGGAGAAGGCAGCGCAAACCAGGAGUGAAAGCCCGGGGCCCAACCCCGGGACUGCUCUUGGAACUGGCCGGCUGGAGUGCAGGAGGGGCAGGCGGAAUUCCUGGUGUAGCAGGGAAAUGCGUAGAUAGCAGGAGGAACACCGGUGGCGAAGGCGGCCUGCUGGACUGCGACUGACGUUGAGGCCCGAAAGCGUGGGGAGCAAACAGGAUUAGAUACCCGGGUAGUC